This 572-nucleotide ribosomal RNA is filed under the name uncultured bacterium. RNAcentral's name for it is "partial 16S ribosomal RNA". It matches the Rfam family "Bacterial small subunit ribosomal RNA", at positions 338 to 902 of the family's 1533-position model. The record is from RNAcentral.
CUCCCNGGCGUCAACUUCCGCGUUUUNUCCGGUACUCCAUGGUUUUACCCACCCAACACCUAUUUGACAUNGAUUACNUUNGGGUUUANAAGCUNUUUCGGCCGGGAAAAAAUCGGUGAGGNUAAUAUCCUCAUCGGAUGAUGGUNCCGGACUAAGAAGCACCGGCUAACUACGUGCCAGCAGCCGCGGUAAUACGUAGGGUGCGAGCGUUAAUCGGAAUUACUGGGCGUAAAGCGUGCGCAGGCGGUUUUUUAANACAGGCGUGAAAUCCCCGGGCUUAACCUGGGAACUGCGUUUGUGACUGGAAGGCUAGAGUACGGCAGAGGGGGGUGGAAUUCCACGUGUAGCAGUGAAAUGCGUAGAGAUGUGGAGGAACACCAAUGGCGAAGGCAGCCCCCUGGGUCGAUACUGACGCUCAUGCACGAAAGCGUGGGGAGCAAACAGGAUUANAUACCCUGNUAGUCCNCGCCCUAAACNAUGUNAACUAGGUGUUGGGUGGNUAAAACCAUUUANUACCGCACCUAACNCGUGANGUUGACCGCCUGGGGNGUCNGNCCCAAAGGUAAAANCUC